Molecule: long non-coding RNA, 278 nt
Filed under: Ananas comosus (pineapple)
Lineage: Eukaryota; Viridiplantae; Streptophyta; Magnoliopsida; Poales; Bromeliaceae
Description: long non-coding RNA (ACOM_LNC039005)
Source: RNAcentral
CGCCGGUCCCGGGACGUGACCGAUUAAUUUGGUAUUAGAGCCUAGGGUUGAGUUUUAGAGGAGCUAGCAAACCUUAGGCCGGUUGGACUAUAGGAAUUAGGCUCGUAAGAGACGAGGUCUAAUUGACUUGUGAGCGAAAGUAUUAUGAUUGGGUUUAUGACAACUCUAAAAAGUUAGAGUUUGAUCGGAGUGUAUGGCUUCUAAUUUCGCGGAGGGUUACGUUGGCGGCCGACAACGUAACAUCGGGAGUUAGUAGUGAAGGACACUUCCUUACUUUC